This is a long non-coding RNA of Cotesia glomerata, 2121 nucleotides long. RefSeq lists it as uncharacterized. NCBI's taxonomy places the organism in Eukaryota, Metazoa, Arthropoda, Insecta, Hymenoptera, Braconidae. The record is from RefSeq and is a predicted model, not a curated record. The transcript is spliced from 10 exons.
AAAUUGAAAAUUCAGUUGAAGCAGUAUUAUCAUUUCCAGCAGCAGCAUCAUCGUAAUUAUUGUUACGAAUAUAAGAAAAAAUAAUAUUCGGUUCAACACUUGAGAUUUUUCAUCUUAUCUCAUUCACCGUCCAACGCAGUGCAGCGUAUAGUAGUAACCAAUAUCCAUCAGCAUGGAGCAAGACCUUAAAGCCGUUCUUCAUCCCCAACAACAGCCAAUACCCUUCUUGGUUGUCUACCGAGCAAGAAGCACGUGUGCGUCAAUAUACGUGGUGGAUUUCCCAAGAAGAUCGGUAUAUACUGCUCUCCAGCAGCCAGCAAUAUACACGUCGUAUAUCACCUGGCUCAGCUAAUACCGGGUGAGAUGUGCGUGAGGCUAUCUACGCUCCAUAAAACACUCAGAUAGUAUGGCGAGGGAAAGCAAAGUCCUCUGCCGAAUUGUAUAUAUCUAUAUGCCGUAUAUCGUACUCCAAACACUAGGUACAUAUUGAGAGAGAUAGCUGCUCGCAAACAGAAGACCAAGGAAAGGAAGACAAAAGAAAGACUAAACUGAACAUGAAGGAAUAGGGCGGAUGACUGUCAACGCAGGUGCAAACAGUCUCAUCAUAAAUAUGCUGUGCUGGGAACAGUUUUUUCCAACCUUAUAUCGGAAAUUUAAUUGGGGCGUGGUUGGAGCCAUUAUUUUAUCUUUUUUUGGACAUGGAAGUGGAGGCAGGAGCAUUACACCAUCGGAGAUAAAAAAAUAUAAUAGUGUGUCAUGACCGAGUGAAGGCCAUAAUGAAUCUUUAUGGAAUAGUGUCGUGAACUUGUAUUCCCUCUGAUGACUGACUGAACUCUCAUCUCAUCUCGAUAGGACAGGCUGUCUACUGACCAGUGGCGCAAUCUCCGUUUAAACUUAACCGUUACAGCUGUCACAAAAAAGGAAUCAUUAAAAAAGUGGUGUCUAAUGAGCCAUUGAGUACUUUACGGAAAGUCGCGAGUGCUGAGGGAAUAAACUUUAUUUUUCAGUAAUGACCUGGCCCUGAAACAAGGAUCGAUAAAAGCAGGCGAGUCAUUGUGCGUGACAAGCGGAUGGGAAAACACGGUGUUGGCUAUCAGGGAACGGAUCGCCCGACAUAACAUUUUCAACAGUGUUUCAAUUCAUGUUACCAAAAUUCAGGAAGACCCAAGUACAAGAAAUUGUCCGGAGCUCCCAACUACUCAUUCUGCUAACACACGUACUCCUUGUUCUCGAACACCGGCGACUCAUUCGAGGAACAUACACGGGUUGAAGACUCUUCAGUUGGCCCUGUACUAAAAAAUUGGUUGACAAAUGUUUGGCAUUAGUGUGUGUACUUGUCUACUACAGAGCACUUUCGAGGAAUUACCUGAACCGGAAAAACUGAGUACAGAUGGAUGAAGACGCAGUAGGACUGGAUGAUCCCGAGGGCUGAAUUUGCGAGAAGUACAAAGCAGCUGAAAAUUUCUAGUCUACUGGGAUUUUGUCUUUUGAUUUCAAGAUACCUAUCACAGGAGCUCCUCGCUUUUUAUUAAUCUAACAAUGGAUAGAAAGGCUGCAGUGAGUGCAGAGUCUAGGGAUGCUGCAACGGUAGCAGCCCCGACAUUCUCAUGUCCCGAGCAGCUGCUGACAGUCGUGACACACCAAAGAUUAUCUCACGUGGGCGACACAAGUUCAGAAUUAUCGGUUCCUCACAAAGUUUCACCGAAGGAAGUAAAAAAAAAAAAAAAAAAAAAAAAAAUAAGAAAAAGGUUUCUAAAAACGUGACGAAAUUCAUCUGUUUUUUUUUUUUCUUUCAACACAAUGCUAACGAGAUCCCAGUUCGUUACCAAACUACUUUAUAGUACGGUAAAAGAAUGGCCGCCGUAGAUCUCGAGCCAACUUCAAGAUGUAUUAAAUCAUAUCCUGGUAUUUUAUAUCGGGGAAAGUUAAAAAGUAGCCGAAGUACAGAAAAAAACCCACUUGAAAAAUUACAUUUCGUAUAGUUGAAGUAAUACGCAGUAAAAAUACUACUCAAAGAGAAUUUUCGAUCAAGUUUUCUUAGAAAAUAGUAAAAAACACGUCCUGGGAAAACUUUAAGUACUUUUUUUGAUGAAAUUGAAUAUAAAUGAGAAUUUUGAAGCA